UAGUAACUGCGAGUGAAGCGGGAAAAGCUCAAAUUUAAAAUCUGGCGGUCUCYGGCCGUCCGAGUUGUAAUCUAGAGAAGUGUUAUCCGCGCUGGACCGUGUACAAGUCUCCUGGAAUGGAGCGUCAUAGAGGGUGAGAAUCCCGUCUUUGACACGGACUGCCAGGGCUUUGUGAUGCGCUCUCAAAGAGUCGAGUUGUUUGGGAAUGCAGCUCAAAAUGGGUGGUAAAUUCCAUCUAAAGCUAAAUAUUGGCGAGAGACCGAUAGCGAACAAGUACCGUGAGGGAAAGAUGAAAAGAACUUUGGAAAGAGAGUUAAACAGUACGUGAAAUUGCUGAAAGGGAAACGCUUGAAGUCAGUCGCGUUGGCCGGGGAUCAACCUUGCUUUUGCUGGGCGUACUUUCCGGUUGACGGGUCAGCAUCAAUUUUGACCGUUGGAUAAAGUCCAGGGGAAUGUGGCAUCUUCGGAUGUGUUAUAGCCCUUGGUCGCAUACAACGGUUGGGAUUGAGGAACUCAGCACGCCGCAAGGCCGGGUACUUGUACCACGUUCGUGCUUAGGAUGCUGGCAUAAUGGCUUUAAUCGACCCGUCUUGAAACACGGACCAAGGAGUCUAACAUGCCUGCGAGUGUUUGGGUGGAAAACUCGGACGCGUAAUGAAAGUGAAAGUUGAGAUCCCUGUCGUGGGGAGCAUCGACGCCCGGACCAGACCUUUUGUGACGGAUCCGCGGUAGAGCAUGUAUGUUGGGACCCGAAAGAUGGUGAACUAUGCCUGAAUAGGGUGAAGCCAGAGGAAACUCUGGUGGAGGCUCGUAGCGAUUCUGACGUGCAAAUCGAUCGUCAAAUUUGGGUAUAGGGGCGAAAGACUA
RNAcentral lists this ribosomal RNA (867 nucleotides) under Hebeloma minus. RNAcentral describes it as "LSU rRNA". It matches the Rfam family "Eukaryotic large subunit ribosomal RNA", at positions 81 to 933 of the family's 3401-position model. Lineage: Eukaryota; Fungi; Basidiomycota; Agaricomycetes; Agaricales; Hymenogastraceae. The record is from RNAcentral.